UUCUCCCAUCUCCAAGUUUAGAUCUCCUCAACCCUCGAUCUUCAAGAGGUAAGAGCCGAUCUUAAGCUCAAUGUAUGAUUUAAACAAGUUUUAUGAAGUUUUUAAGGGGUAGAAUGCAUGUUAGGUUAUAUGAUGAGUUAUGGGUUAAUGUGAUGUUUUGAACAAUGUAGCUUGUUUGUGUGUGAUUGAAGUGUUGUAGAUGGGGUAUUUGUAUGUUUGAGGCCCCUAGGAACUUGUAUGCAUGCUUUGGUUGAAAAAUAUGCAUGUUUGGAAAGGAUUGGAGGCGAGAUGUGUUAAGGGAGCCAAGUUUCUGCCCUUUGGCAGAAACCAGGUUCGGCAGCCGAAGGUACUUUCGGCCGCCGAACAUGGCUGGGAAGGCAGGCCUUUCGGCUGCCGAAGUUGCCCCCGAAAAGAGACUUUUGUCUCUGUCUGGCACUUUCGGCCGCCGAAGGUGCCGCCGAACCUAGCUGAGUUUCGUCUCUGUCCAGGACUUUCGGCCGCCGAAGGUGCCGCCGAAAGUGCCCUGUUCAGCCAUUUCAUGCAUAUUUUCUGUGAUAUUUUCAGGAUGUUUUAGGGGGGUUUUUGGGGAGUAGUUUAGAGUUAUGUUCUAGUAUGUUUGGUCCCUCAUUUGAGUCCACCUGUGUAGGUUCGGACCCGAGGAACCGAGGACCCCAGCAGUGAGUUCAGCUGCGGUUUUGUCAGAGUCAGCCAGAGGUGAGUGGAACUAAACUAAAUCUUUUAAAUUAAAUGUUUUAUCAUGUUUCAUGCAUCAUGUUUAUACAAUAGGAUGAUUGCAUUAGUUUUCACGAAUAUGUCGCAUUGCAUAAAUUGUUGUUGAUGUGGGUGAAUGUUGGAUGACCCAAUUAGUCCAAGACAGGAAGACCAGGACCCCAUGCUACGGCCUGGCACAGAGUAAGAAAGACCAGGCCCCAGUCUACAGGCCUGGCACAGAGUAAGGUACGGUUAUGGGACUCGAAGACCAGGAGCCCAGAGGAGGCCCUGGAAAAUGGUAAGUAAUGUAUGUUAUCACAGGAAGACCAGGCCCCAUUCUACAGGCCUGGCACAGAGUUAACUUGGACUAUUUGGUGACAAGUUCACCCAACCCUUAUGUGAAUUGUCUGUGUUAUGAUGCAUUCCAUUUGAGCAUAGUGUUAAUGUGUUUUACUAGCUCUACUCACUGGGCUUUUAGCUCACCCCUCUCCCUUUACCCCCAGGCUUGCAGGUUCAGUAUAGUGUGGGAGUCCGGAUAGAGUAAAGAAGUUAUGCCUUUGUAAUAGCUAGUAAUGGACAUGAUCAAAAUUGUAAUGUAAAAGUACAGUAUAGUUAUGUAAUGAGUUUUAUGGAUGUUAGUGUGUGCUUGACCAUAGAAUGUUGUAUCCCUUUUUCUACAUGAUCUUAGAGAUUCAUAUGAUGUUUAUGUAAACCAGCUCAACACAGGUUAUGUUACCCCUUGAGGGCACAGAUGAGAUCCCACAGAGGGAUCAAUGUUAUAUUCAUGUUUAUGUACAGGUUGAGUUUGGUUGAUGAGUAUGCAAAGGAAAGUUUUAAUUUUUAUGCUUAUUGUUGAUCAUGUAUGGGAUUAUACAGGUUUACAGGUCUUAUGUUAGGCUUGCUACGGGUCCCGGC
RNAcentral lists this long non-coding RNA (1626 nucleotides) under Manihot esculenta (cassava). RNAcentral's name for it is "long non-coding RNA (MESC_LNC011046)". Lineage: Eukaryota; Viridiplantae; Streptophyta; Magnoliopsida; Malpighiales; Euphorbiaceae. The record is from RNAcentral.